RNAcentral lists this unclassified non-coding RNA (181 nucleotides) under Glomeromycotina sp. RNAcentral describes it as "partial contains small subunit ribosomal RNA, internal transcribed spacer 1, and 5.8S ribosomal RNA". The stretch from base 1 to 47 matches the Rfam family "Eukaryotic small subunit ribosomal RNA", at positions 1785 to 1831 of the family's 1831-position model. Lineage: Eukaryota; Fungi; Glomeromycota. The record is from RNAcentral.
AAAGUCGUAACAAGGUUUCCGUAGGUGAACCUGCGGAAGGAUCAUUAAUGAUUUGGCGAACCGAGCGUUAGCGAGGUUUUGCGAUCAACUUGUAUUUAAAACCCAACUCUUUAUAAUAUUUAUACAUAAUUUUAAUGAUUAAAAUUGAAGAUCACUUUCAACAACGGAUCUCUUGGCUCUC